Molecule: ribosomal RNA, 252 nt
Filed under: uncultured bacterium
Lineage: Bacteria
Description: partial 16S ribosomal RNA
Rfam family: Bacterial small subunit ribosomal RNA
Source: RNAcentral
GACGUAGGGCGCGAGCGUGUCCGGAUUUAUUGGGCGUAAAGAGCUCGUAGGCGGCUUGUCGCGUCGAAUGUGAAAACCCACGGCUCAACUGUGGGCUUGCAUUCGAUACGGGCAGGCUAGAGUUCGGUAGGGGAGACUGGAAUUCCACGUGUAGCGGUGAAAUGCGUAGAGAUGUGGAGGAACACCAGUGGCGAAGGCGGCUUUCUGGUCUGUAACUGACGCUGAGGCGCGAAAGCGUGGGGAGCAAACAGG